This 253-nucleotide ribosomal RNA is filed under the name uncultured bacterium. Its description in RNAcentral is "partial 16S ribosomal RNA". It matches the Rfam family "Bacterial small subunit ribosomal RNA", at positions 524 to 776 of the family's 1533-position model. The record is from RNAcentral.
UACGUAGGGGGCUAGCGUUGUCCGGAAUCAUUGGGCGUAAAGCGCGUGUAGGCGGCCCGGUAAGUCCGCUGUGAAAGUCCAGGGCUCAACCCUGGGAUGCCGGUGGAUACUGUCGGGCUAGAGUCCGGAAGGGGCGAGUGGAAUUCCUGGUGUAGCGGUGAAAUGCGCAGAUAUCAGGAGGAACACCAAUGGCGAAGGCAGCUCGCUGGGACGUGACUGACGCUGAGACGCGAAAGCGUGGGGAGCAAACAGG